This 22-nucleotide microRNA is filed under the name Ananas comosus (pineapple). Its description in RNAcentral is "microRNA s1249_c026b". The record is from RNAcentral. Lineage: Eukaryota; Viridiplantae; Streptophyta; Magnoliopsida; Poales; Bromeliaceae.
CUAACAAAGCGUCUAAACGAGG